UGUUAUAGUGCUGACUGUGUUUAAAUAGUAAUGAAUGGAGGUGGUGUUUGUAGGAGUUGUGCGGAGGAAGAGAUACAUGAACGUGAAUGAGUGCGUGGGUGGGUGUUUCUCUGGGCGGGUUCAAUGGCUUUGGGCUCUCUGGCUAAUGAGGAAAUAGUCAGUGGUGAUGAAACAACUCUCUGGCUGUAAAAAAGGUUUCACUACAGUAUGAUGCAACAAUCAAAGAGAAUUCCCCCGCUCAUUAUUAUUCUACUGCUCUCUCUCUUUGUAACUCACUCUUUCUCUCUGGCCUCUUCGCCCACACCUAUUUCUGUGCCAGUAAACUGUAAAUGCUAUCAAUAUCAACAUGCAACAAGUUGUAAAGUGAACGCACAGACUAGCACGUUCAAUGUAUUCUGCACACAGAAACAAACACACACGCACACACACGCACACACACACACACACACACACACACACACACACAUAUACAUAUAUUUAUGCUGGCUUGCAAAAUCAACCCGGAAAACUCAAGCAUUACUGGACAACUUCUUUUUUUUUGUCUUUUUUUUUUUGUGUUUGCUUUUUCGAUAGCUUCCCUUUUCUUGUACUUCCUCAUGAUUUCUGUCCAUUUUAUGAGAAGGCACAAGCUCUGUGGUUACUAUAGCUUGACUAGAAACUGUACAGAGUCAAAAGAAGUCUCUUUCUGUAAUUUUGAUCACAUGAAUGUAUUUUGCGUUUUAUUUAAGUUCGUUUCACAUGAUGCGUGCCAUGCUGCAGUGACUUCAGAGAUCAGAAUGUGAUGAUAUACACAUGGCAACAGCUCCCUUCAUCUGUGAUGUGGAAACCUCUGAGGAAUCUCUGAGGGCUGCUGUGAGCAGCCACCAGGUCAGGCAUCGGGUCUGCUCCUACACUCUCCUCCAGGUCCUUGUAGGUGUACUGACGGUCUUUGUGCUGGCACUGACUGGAAGUCUCAUCUGGAUGAAGGAGACUUCGGAUUGCCCAGGGAAGCUUUGGACUGUCAAUUUCACAGGAACAAACGCAACCUUCACUUCACCUAGAACUCAGAAAUAUGUGAUCUUUGGCAGUGUCUUCACAACAGGAGUUGUCAGUAACUGCACAAAUGUAUUCAGGCUGCAAUCCCAUGGAAAAGAAAUCCUAAAAAGUGGAGUCGCUGAGAUAUUUAGUAGAGAUGAUGUAGAGCUUCGGAAAGAAGCAACACUAAGUGUAAUGCUUAAUUGUAAAGUGUUUAUUGAUGAGGACAAGUCCAAACUCUUCAUUUAUCAACAUAACUCAUGCUAGGAUGCAUACACAUCUUAGCUGUUGCUGGUAUCCGGCCCAAGGGGAAAACCCUCUCUUUAACUUUUAAAGAUUUACAUACAUAUACUGUAGCUGAAUCUGAUUGAACAAACAAUUACUUUCAACAUCAGUGUCAAGAGCUUAGAGGGAUCCUGACAAGGCUAACUUGUGAAUGUUUUGUUAAGCAAAAAUGGUUUAAAAUGAUUGCAGAAUUUAUCAGUGAAGUUCAGUAGAACAUUUGUUUGUUCAUCAGUGUGAGUGUGGUUUAGUUACUGUAUAUUUAAAUAUUUUAUAAAUUACUUUAAAUCUAUUUUUAGAUAAUUACUGAUUGUAUUUGAAUUAUUAUUUCCUUUUUGUUUGAAAUUUAUUAACAAAAUGUAAACUGUUUGUUUUGGCACCUAUGGUGUCCACAACCUUCUCAUUACUGUUCAACUCUAUGAAACCUCUGAAACAUGUUUGUAUUCAUUACACACAUUAUUAAAAAUUAUCCUGACAAGAGCAUGUUUGCUUGCAAAUCCUCAUUCUAUAUUAAUUUUACAUUUUAUACUGAAAGGUUUAUUUAUGAAGGAUCUGAGCAACCUGUGUGUGUAGCUUAAAGAAAGCAACUAUACAUUUGGGUUGUUUUAUUUUUCUAUAUUCCAUUUAAUCGUAUCAUUUAACCAUUUGUUCAUUAUUGUUAUUAAUUUAUGAAACACUUUAGUAUAGGGACCAAUUCUCACUAGUUGCUCAUUAGCAUGCCUGUUAUUAGUAAAAAGCACAUAUGUGACCCUGGACAACAAAACCAGUCUUAAGACACUGGGGUAUAUUUGUAGCAAUAGCCAAAAAUACAUUGUAUGGGUUUUUU
Long non-coding RNA from Cyprinus carpio (common carp), 2122 nucleotides. Lineage: Eukaryota; Metazoa; Chordata; Actinopteri; Cypriniformes; Cyprinidae. The record is from Ensembl.